CCUUAUUAUUUUAAAAUCAGGUGAUUGUUUUGAAGGAUUUCUUUUGUCAUGGGAUUUUGAAAUACCAACAACAAAGGAUUUUGGUUUACGGUCAAACAGACCGUAAAACCAAAUACAAGGUUUUGAAUGUUCAUUGAAAUCCCUCACAUGUCAUCACGUGAGGGAUUCAGUACUCCAUCAGCACGAAGGUGAGAACGACAACGAAUGAGAAGUCUGAGAAGUUGAAGCUCGUCAACACCAACGCCGCCGAAAUUCCUCAUCACCAACACUGGAGCAACUCCCUUCUACAAGGACACACGCGCAGCUCCCUUCUGAGGAGUUGAAGCUCGUCAACACCAACGUUAGCGCAACUCCAUUCUUGUUGCAGCUCUUCAACCAGGACGCUGACGCAGCUCCUUGCUGAGGAGUUGAAGCUCGUCAGCACCAAGUCUAGCACAGCUCCAUUCUUGUUGGAGCUCUUCAACCAGGACAUCGGCGCAGCCCGUCACUGUUUUACCUUUUCCAAAAUCCAGCAACUACCAUAGAUCUGGCUGUUUAAGUUUAAAAUCAGCUUGAAGGGAAUGAAAUUGAAGCUUUGAUAAGAGAUCUCUGAAAUCAUUUGUUGACACAGGUGUUUGUAGGAGAUUUUUCAGGGGGCUUGAUAUCAUCUAAAAAGGAAAUUUCAGGUUUCAAGGUUUUUUUCCUCCUUAUUGUCCUGCUGCACUAAAAUCUUUGACAUUAUUACCAGCAAACAUAUCAGGCUCAAUUUUCAAAUCUCAGGUUGGCUAUUACUUGUGUUCCAUUGAUUUUGUAAUAUUUUGUUUU
Dioscorea cayenensis subsp. rotundata (Guinea yam) is the source of this 804-nucleotide long non-coding RNA. RefSeq lists it as uncharacterized. Lineage: Eukaryota; Viridiplantae; Streptophyta; Magnoliopsida; Dioscoreales; Dioscoreaceae. The record is from RefSeq and is a predicted model, not a curated record. The transcript is spliced from 4 exons.